This is a long non-coding RNA of Cavia porcellus (domestic guinea pig), 20487 nucleotides long. RefSeq lists it as uncharacterized. The transcript is spliced from 3 exons. The record is from RefSeq and is a predicted model, not a curated record. NCBI's taxonomy places the organism in Eukaryota, Metazoa, Chordata, Mammalia, Rodentia, Caviidae.
UGGCCCUGCUGCGCUGCACGCCCCGCGCCGCCCUCCCCCGAAACCGCGGCCGGGCUCCGGGAGCCCCCGGUCUGGGUCUUCUCGCGGUGAGUCCUUGUCCUCCCGGGCGCCGCGGGAUGCUGUGCCGCGCCGUCUCCCCCUCUGGGGCCGCGAUGGUGCGUCCCGCUCCUCGGCGGCUCCCCCGCCCGCCGGAGCUUUGCGAAAGUCCCGGAGUUGGGGAGUUGGGUGCUAACUGGUGCGGGCGGCGCGCCGGGGAGCUGGGAGCUGGUGUACGCCAGCCGGACGCCCUGGGACCCCAGCGUCCGGCCCGGCCACCUCUGACGCGGACUGCUGCUGAGAGUUUUCGACCUCCCGGGGAUGUGCAGAUGAUGGGCGAGCUCGGCCAGGAGCUCAGAGCCUGCACCCCGGGAGUAGGGGCUCCCCACUCGCUCCCUCCCCCCGGGACCUGCAGAUCUCCCGCUUUGACCCCUGUACUCUCAGCCGGAAAAUGGGGCCACAGCUGUGCUCCCUGCACACUGUUCCACUGGCGGGGCCCGCCUUUCUUCCUUCCCGAGACCUAGGACGUUAGGUGUGAACGCCCUCUGUAAACUGGAGAGUGCCGCCUGUCUGCUGUCCCUGCAAACCCACGUGGAGGUGACAGACCCUCUCCGCGGGACCUUUUCUCGCGCCAGCCCAGCCCCCUGCGUCCGAAUGUUUUCCUGACGGACGCAGCGCUCGGAGUCUGUGCCCCGCAGCCCCUGGACUUUUUCUCUCUCCCGUGCGGCCACUCAGCAGACCAUCAGCCUAACACGACCCGGCGCCCCGCUCCGGAGGAAGUGAAGGCAGACCCAGGCUUGCCAGCUGGGAGCUGAAACAUUAGGCACGUGAUCCGCCAGACGAGGUAACGCGCGUAAAAUCGGGGUUCCUGGGCGCGGUGUGGGCCACUGCCACGGAGAAGGCGACGUCUUCCCCUGGAGCGCGCAGAGCUCCUCGCUUGACUGCCUCCUCCCUGUUGCACGGGAACCCGAAGCUCGAAUUCGCUGCCCUCCUCGCUGCCACUCCCCCACUGGCGCCCUGCUUAUUCUCUGCUUUUCCCGCCCAGGCACAGACCUCAGUGGGUAGUCACUCCCUGCCCCCAGCCGGCGAGCUGAGGUCUCUUGCUCCCAGUUCUGCCGGCCCCAGGCUGAGUGGUGAGUGCUCCGUUUUCUGGAACUGUCAUCUUUUGCAAGCUUUCAAGCUGAGCUCCAGGUCCAGUUCAAGGCUGAUGAGACCUGUGCCCCUCGCCGCCCUCUCCUGCCUUCUGUCCGCCUGCCCAGUGGCUGACACUGUGUUUUCCUUUAGGUUGGCCACGCAGAUCCUUCCCCGCAGCAAACCGUCUCCUCUUCAUCUAAUUCUAGAAGGCUUUUUCACCCUCCAGGUCUUGUUGAAUUGCCACCCCCUUCACAAGAUCCUUAAAAAUCCUCCUCAGGAGUUGCUUGCUUGCUUUGGAUUUCUAUCCAAGUAGUGUUUAGCCAGCCCUUCAAAUCCCGGUGCCUACUCAACUCUCUCCAGUGGCUUCUGACCUGCCACCGGUUCCCUACAAGGAACCACUGGAUUCUGCAUUGACAGAUAUGCUCAGUCCUGAUCCCUUCCUCUCUCAGCAGGCUAGACCCGUUCUCCCUUGCUUCCACCUAGAAUUCCAAUUCUAUUUUUAGGUUCUAGCCUUAUGCCUUAAAAAAAAAUGAUUUUACUGUGUUAACAUAUACAUAAAUCUGAACGUUCUACGCAUCUGUAAGUGUUGGUCUCAUAGCAUUAAGUACAUUCUCGUUCUUAUGCACACCAACCACACCUUUCUCCUCCUCCCAAACUGAAAUUCCAUAUCCACUAAACACCAACUCCUCAUUCCUGCCCUCCUCCAACUGCUGGCAUCCACGGUUAUUUUUUGCUUGGUGAAUUUGACCUAUUCCAGGUAUCUCAUGUAAGUGGAACUGUAUGUUCGCUCUUUUGUGCCUGGCUUAUUUUACUUAUAAUAGUUUCAGAAUUCAUCCGUGUUGUAGCAUGGAUCAGAACACCACUCCCUUUUAAGACUGUAUGAUACUCCAUUAUAUGUAUACACCAUGCUUUGUUUAUCCUUCCUUCCACGGGCAUUUGGGUUGUUUCUAGCUUUUGGCCAUUGUGAGUAAUUUUGCUGUGAAUAGCCUGUGUCUUUCAUAUGCAGCAGUAGAUCUACAGUAUUUAUGUAAUUAGGUAAUACUGCAAAAUUCUUUUCUGGGCUUCAUGACCCUGAGCACAAUGCCAAUAAACAGAGUGACUGGAAUGAUCCUUUUGUAAACCAAGGUUCACUGCCCUGCUCUUGCUCAUUUAUGGUUUCCCAGCACAUUAAAAUAAUCUAGCAAAGUCCUUACUACAGCCUUCGAGGCCUGCAUGAUCAGACCUGACUUCUAGCUUUUGCCUUUGCUCUUUGCCUUCUGUCACAAUGGUCUUGCUGUAUCCCUCAAAUACGUACAAGUUAAUGCUUACCUCAGGGCCUUUGCAAAUUUCAUGUGCUCUAUACAGAAACUUCAAACCUUUGCCUGGUUCUCUCCGUUCUCUCAGGAAUCACAUCAGAGGUUCUGUCUCGGAGAGAACUAUCCUGGUCACCUGACCAGAAGGGCACACACACACACACACACACACACACACACACACACCGUCAUUUCCACUUGCUUGAUUUUCCUUUGGAGCAGGUUUGGUUUGAGUCUCCCUCUAUGAUACAGGUUCCAAGCAAGCAGCCACUUGGUAUUUCCUCAUACCCGCUCCCUCUGUCAGCACGUACUUCUUUUUCUUGUUAAUCAGAAACUGGCAUUCCUACCAAUCAGGGGAAUUUGCAAAAGAGAUUGCCUUUCCCUGAGCCAAAGAGCUGAGGCACAGGAUUUCAGUUCAUAGUCUUCUUAGACAUAUGUAGCUAGACUGUGGAUCCUCCCAAGCAUGGCAAUACAGUAGGUGCUCAGUGAUUACUGGUUGAGUCACAGAGAGCAAUUAAGGUCAUGACAGGAGGGGAACUAUUCAGAGUCUCUGUCUUUCCCACCCCCUCUUGCAGCUCCCUGGAGGAUUCUGCAGGAAAUUGGAUUUGAGCUUUUUCUCCUGUCUUACCAUAGUCACUUGUGGAUCAAAGCAGCCAGGCUGCCCCCAGUGGGGACUCUAUCCAGAGAACCCAGCUUUAAUCCUAGGACUCUUUGAUCACCGUCUACAAUGUGGGCUGCACCAGGCAGGGAGAGGGCUCCUGGGGCUUUAUCCUACUCACAGAGACAAUGCCAUUUCCUGAGAAAAGCUGAGCUGGUCGCUGAAAUUGAACAAGCAAUGUUGCUUUCAGACUGUGCCUUCCUGCCAGGGCUGUUUGGGGCGUUAAAUGAGAUAAUGUACUUAAAGGGCUGACUGCGGUGCCUGGUCUAAUGGAAGCGCUAGUGACAGCGGGUGAAGUGAAAGCUCCAUACCAGAUGGAAGCCGAAGAUGGAUGAGCAGCAUUUCAGCUACAGGGCAGACCCUCUGCUCUGACCUGCACCUCUCUGAUCUAACCCAUCACUGUCCUCAUUCAUUCCACACCAGCCCCAGACACCUUUCUCCUAGUCCUCGCGUGCCCUCUGCUCACCCCAGCCCUGAGACCUUUAUGCUGGCUGUUGCUGCUGCCGGCGGUUUCCCCAGCUCUCCCUCCUAUUGCUGACUCCUGCUCAUCCUGCAGGUCUCUGACGGUCAUUUCUUCACAGGGUCCCUUUUAAAAGCAAGCGCUCCAUGCUCUCUAACUUCCUACGUUUUCUUCAUUGUGCAUGUCCCUUUUCCUUGCCAUAGUCUAAUCUGUGUGCUGAUUUACUUGUUCACGAUUGGGCUUCUCCAAAUAGAUUCUCAGCUGCGCUGGGCAGCUGUCUUGUCUGCUCAUUCCCCGCCGUAGCCUUACGUUGUGGAACAUUUGUGCCUGAUACAUGCAAAAGGAUGAAAAUGUGUAUUUGAUGAAUGGCAAGUAUCUCUUCUCUUCUCUGUAUUUUUCUGUCCUUUUUUUUUUUCAAGCUGCAUAAUCUCUGCCUCACCCUUCAGUUUUCCAUCUUGUCAUUGACCACAAGAAGGGUCAACCAGAAGAGAAGUGACAGGAACAACACUUCAGCUUUCCUGAUGAGGAUAUAAAACCUUUCCUGUUGGAAGUCCACCUUGGUUUCUUAGGGGCUCUUGUGGCUGGCCUCCUCUGUCAAGAACUGUACUUGUGGGCAUGUCUAGCCAAACCCUGAGCUGAGCAGUGUGAGGAGUAAGAACGAUUCCAGUGCUGUAGUUUCCAAGCUGGAGAGAAAGAGGUUGCCUUGAGCAAAACCAAAACCUGAAAAGCUGUAUGUAUUGGCUUUCUGUGUCUCCUGCCAGCCUGAUUCUUCCUCUUUCUCCUGUCUUCAGGGAUCACCACGCACAGCUGACACUUUCUCAAAGAAGCCUGAUCUCCUUGAGCAGAACAAGCUCCUCGUUUUAUGACCUCUUAGCAAUACCUUAGAAUACCUUUCCUUACGGUACAGUACUUACUGUAUUUACAGUUGCUAGGUUAUUGAUGGAGAUCACUGGGCUACAAGUCCCAUGAAGACAUAAACUAUGUGUAGUUCUUGGUACUUUUUGAUCUUUUUUCAUAGACUUUAUUUUUUAGAAGCAAUCUUCAAGUUAUGGCCCAGUUGAGCAGAAGGCACUGAGUACUGACCUCUGUCCUGCACAUGCACAGCCUCUCCCACUGCCAGCAACCCUUAGCAGAGGGGUACAUUGUGAAACUGAUGGAUCUGCAUUGACACAUGGUUAUCGCCCAAAGGCCAUUGUCUGCCUUAGGUUCCACUCUUGAUGGAAGUUGUGUAGCUCAGACAGAUGCACCCAAUGUUACAGAAUUAUACGGAUUAGUUUCGCUGCCUGAAAAACCUUUUGUGCUCCACCUGUUUACCCCUCCUCCCUCCAGCUCAUCUUUUUACUGUCUCCAUAGUUUGCUCUUUACAGAACGACCUAUAGUAUGCGGCCUCUUCAGAUUGGCUUCUCUCACUUAGCAAUGUGUACAUCAGCUCUUCAGUGUCCACAUCCGUGUGUGUAUGUGUGUGUGUGUGUGUGUGUGUGUGUGUGUGUAGUGUUGGGGUCCAACUCAGGGCUUCUGCCACCAAACUAUACCACUCAGUCCCUUCUAUGUAUUUCCCUGGUUUUAUAACUUAUUUCUUUUUACUGCUGAGCAAUGUUGUUUUGUCUAGAUGUGCUACAGUUUAUCCAUUCACCUACUAAAGAAUACCUUGGUUAUUUCCAAGUGAGGUAAUCACCUAAGAGCUCAAUUAGUUAAUAUGGUGGGGUAUUUUUUUUUUUUUUUGCAAAACUGCAAAAAUUGCCAAAGUAUAAAGUAUGAAGUGUAAAAUGCCUCAUUUUGUACUCCUAUCAAUAGUGAAUGAUAGAAAAAUUGUGGAUCUGAAAUUUCAGUACCUCCAUUUAUCAACCUUAAUGAGUCCGGACUUUGUCCCUAAUUUCUUGUAUGACCCUAGAAGUCACUCAGAUUGUCUGAGUCACAGAUUUAGUGUGUACAGGUCCAUAAAUGUAUAUGCUAGCAGGAAUUGGAGAUGUACCACUAACUGUGGUUUCAUUUAAUAAAGCAUUUGUAUCACAUGCGCUCUGAAGUCUUUUUCAAUUCUACAGUUCUGCCAAAGGGACUGGGGAAGAUAGGCAGUUGUCGAAUACCACUCGAGGAGGUUCAAUCUACUGUCUGCAUUUCAGCUCCUAGUUUGAGUAAUAAUACAGUUUCCAGGAGGUCUGUCUGAAAUGACCUCUAGAUAGGAAACUGCCUGUCUCCCUUUUGGAAAUGCCAAUUAAGCCAACCAAUUCCGCCAACCGUAAAGGAAUUCUAUUGAAUCAAGGCAGUGAAUGUGGAAGAUGUCUCAUGUAGCAUAACUUUAGAAAGGGCAGAAGAGAAGGCUACAAUCUCAAAGUAGAAAUAGAUCAUGUCAUUGGGUGGGUGCAUCUCAGACAAAGCAUCCACUGGUAGGUCAGAUGCAGAUGCUAGGUGCGUAGGGAGCCUUCCUCCUGGCACUGUCAUGAGGAGAUCAGAGCUUGGGGAAUGAGGGCAUUAUUUCCUGUUUAAUUCCUUACCUGUGUGGGUUAGCUUUUCACCUCUGUGACUAAAUGCCAAAUGUAGUGACAAAGAGGAGACUAAACACCAAGAAUGAUGCCAAAGGAGGAAAGGCUGUUUUGGCCUACAGUGUCAGAGGUUUCAAUUGGUCAUCAGCUGGAUCCACUGCUUUAGGCCUGUGGCAAGACACAAGCACAAGCCAGGAUCUGGGAAGUGGGAAGCUGCUUGUUCCUGGCAGCCAAAAAACCAAAAAGGUGAGUGAGCCAGAGAGGAAGGAGUCAGGGAACAGAUGUAGUCCUUAGGGUUCCACUCCUAUGAUGCACACCCUUCUCUUUUUAUAACCUCCCAGUAUCAAAUUAUGAUACAGUCACCUUCCAAAGCCCAUCCUCUGAACACAAGAGUAGGGAGGGGUUAGAUCUAAACUAGAGCAUCUUUAUUUUUGUACAAAACACUGAAAGGUAGUGAGAUGUAGGACACAGUGUCUCCUUUCCAUGCACAUCUCCAUAAAAUACAGAUUGACUACUCUAACCCAGGGUUCCCAACCUAGUUAGUCGAUUACAGAGUUGCCUGGAAACCUUUACACAUUCUGGUGGCUCUGCAGGGACCCAGACCGAUCAGUCAGAAUCUCUGGGAGUAGACUAGGCUGUCCCUCAGUGCCUCCUCGGUGUUGCCAAGUUUGAGAAUCACUGCUCACUGGCUUCCGGGGUUCUCAAACCCUGCAAAGCUUUUUCAUCCACUUAGUAGGUCAGCUGGUGUUCCACUAGGUGGCACCUUCCAGCACACUUCAGUGCAUCCAGAGAGGGCUUGUCUAGGUCUAACUGCAAGGAAUGACUCCAUAAAGCAAGAUCUAGAGUCUUUGCUGACGAGGAGUCUGUGGUCUGGAUGAGGAUACUGAAGCUUGUCCGCUAACAGAUUGUGAGCAAGGGCUGGAGUACAGAAUGCUGAGAUUCCUUGCUGUUGGGAGACAGCCUGGAGAGGAGGCAGCGGGGUUCUGACUCAUGGCUCACACUCACCCAAGCAUUCUGGGCUCUUGCUUCCCAACCUAUCCCGCAGGAACCUCGAAACCCAUCUCAAAAGCACCCUUUACUGUAUUUAAAACACCCUGAUUGUCUUAGGGACUUACACUUCUUCAUCUCAGCCAGGAAGCUGGGUUAGAACUGACCCCUCCCUCAAUUGCUGGUUCAGCCAAUUAGAGCACAGUAUCCGCUUCCACAACAGUGAUUGGCCCAGCGUUGAGUACCCGCUCUCUGGAAGUCCAGUCUGCAAUGAGGUGGUUUCUGUGGUUUUAAAAUGUAGAGUCCACCAAGGAGACUGUGGAACCUCCGCCAUGAUAUGAGCCCCUCUCUGAGGAGUAUACCAGACAUCCUGCCUUUGCUGCUAUUCUCUUUUCAAAGAAGUGAUAUUUGACCUAUGGACCUUUUUGUCUGUACUUUUAUGUUGGGUUUAACUCUGCCAAGGCAGGAUUUCAGGUAGGAGGAGAAGAUCUGCUUCAGGGCUUCUUUCCCCAGCAUUCUUACUGGGACUUGAUUACUAAGGGCCACAGCUCCUGCCAUGCAACCUUUUGGGAGACAACCCUCCCUCUUGGGGUUCUUCCCUUCCUUGAGUAGACCUGGGGCCAGGCAGUACACGUUGUCUCUAGACCCAGGACAUUGUACUGUCGCUGUGGUCAUCCCGUAGCCUGUCCCAUGGUUCUGGCAAACCGUUCUCAAGUUUUCCAGCAUGAGUGUCAUCCGUUUCCUGCCAAGACCCUAACUUCGUCAAGGUGAAGCUUCCUGAGACCAUCACUACAGCGGGAAAUGAGCUGAGAGAUCACCCAGUUCCCCAAGCCAAGCCCUGAUGUCAUCCGCGCUUCUACUUUGACUGACCUCCCACACUGAAACAAUUACCUAAUAACGCUGCUUUUAUUGCCUAAUAAAUUUUAAACAUAUUCCUUCCCCUCUAGGCCUACUUCAUGGAAUGUAUUUCAAAUGCCUGCAAGAAUCCUUUAGCAGAUCCUGGUACAUCAAAUGGCUAAGUUCUCUACCUUAGGGACCACUUCCACCCUGUCUAAGGUCCUUGACCUGUAACUUAUCUGACUCGAUUCCAAAGGAUGAGCUGAGCCACUCAGACUUUCUCAGCAAUGGGAAGGGAAGAAGGCAGCAGUGUCCACAUGUCAUCUCUCUGAGUCCUCACCAAAAGCCUGUGAGUAGGAUCUAGUAUUAUUUCCAGUGUUCAGAAAAGGAAACUGAACUAUGCCAGUCCUUACACUGAGUUCUUUAUGUGCAUCACCUUGCUGAUUCAUUGAGUCGUAGAUUCAAAGGAUGCUCAUUAAGAACCUACUGAGCAUCAAACUACCACACACCAGGCACUAUAGCAGAUGCUAGGGAUUUGGUGGUGGACAAACAGAUGGACGGCAGUCUCAGAGGGCUGCUAGUCUGGUGAUGGAAAGGGCAUUGUAAAAGUGAACACAUGAAUAACAAUUGUUUUAGGAGGAAGGAGAGAAAUCUGCACAGCUGUUUUGGGCAGAUCUAGUAUGUGAACCCAAUGCUGUUCCAGUCAAAUUCAAUAGUCAGUGAAGUUCCAUGAUUAGGACUUCCCUAGACUGUUCUAGUGAGGUGCUGGGUUUGUCAGUGACAUUGUCAGCAGCCCUGCUUGUCCCUGGGGCAGGUUCCUGCCACUUACUGAAUAUGCAAAUGCAUGCACACACGUGUACAAUCAGAAAGGAGAGAUGUCCCAUGUCCUUCCCUACAGGGCUUGCCAGUGAAGGCCAGUGCAGUAGGUUUUGAAAGUGCUAUUCUGUGGGGCUGGGGAUUUAGCUCAGUGGCAUAAGAACCUGCCUUGCAAGCAGGUGGUCAUGAGUUCGAUCCCCAGUACCAUUAAAAAAGAAAGUGCUAUUUUCAGUUGUGGAAUUCUAGUUUGAAGAUCACUUUUGCUCUUAUUACUUGUUAUGGCUUAGAUCUAGAAUGGCCUUCAAAACUCUCAGGUGCUCAGAGACAGGUUUUUUGAACAGUGAUUAGAUCAUAGGCCACUAUAUUUGCCAGUGGACUCAUCCAUUAAAGAGCUCACAGCUGUUUGUGCUGUCAGGAGGUCCUAAUUAGAGGUGGGGCUCUGGGCCAGUGACCUGGAAGGGUACACCUCCUUUCCAGCUCCUCCUUCACUGUCUGCUUCCUGGAUGCCAUGAUGAGAGCAGCUUUCCUCCACCAGACCCUUCCGCCAGGCCCUUCCUGCCUCAGAGCCAGCUGACUAUGGACUGAAUCCUCUAAAAUCUGUGAGCCGAAAUAUACCUCUCCUCCCUUAAAUUGUAGGUGUCAAGUAUGGUGUCUCAGUAACAAGGAAAGUCACUAUGUGAUUAAUCCUGGAGAUUACUACAUUUAAAUGCAGAAAAAUUGCCUUUUUUUUCCAAAUGCAAAAUACUCUAUGAUGCUGUUGAAUCUCAUAUGAAUGGACACUUGGAGUUAUUAUCAGUCUUGGUGCCAUUGACACCAUAAUGAAUAUGUCUGUGCACAUCUUGUUCUAUAGUGUGACGGGGAUUUUCAGCAGAGAUUCCUAGAUGUUCAAAGUGCUGGAUCAAAGGAUAAACACAGCUUUAGUUGUGAAAGUUUUUGCCAAAUUUUUUGACUGUAGGAAUGAAAUUCUUUUACAUCCCUACCAGCAGUGGAGGAGAGUACUUCGUUCUUUAGAGUCUACACCCACAAAAUAUUUUUAAAGCAUUUAUUUUUUAGCAAAAUCUACAUUCCCAACUUGCUUUAAACAUUGCAAGAUCUAGGCAACUCUGGGCCCAUUUUCUGCAUGGCCAAUACAGGCUGGGGCUUAGGGUCACUGGUAACUGGGGUGAAUAGUCACUACAGUCCCAUGGAUUUUAGAGGUUUCAUCCUAUGUUAUGAAGAUGAGGAGACUCCACAAGUUCAUAAAGGAUGCCAAGUGGGAGCAGAACCCAACUGCCUCUCAGUCUACUCCACCAUGGGGCUUCCAAAAUAAGUACAAAGGGACUGAUAACAAGGUAAGUAUGCAAAAGCCCUACAAUUCAGCAUUAAAAUUGAGUUGUUUUCAGCAUUUACUUAACUCACUAUAUACAUUACACCACCGCCUCGUUGAUUAAACUGUGACUAAUACACACAGAGCAGAGUGACAAAUUGGUUUCUAUUUCUCCUGAGCAACCCAGACAGCAGGCUAGAGUCACAACAGAGUGAAUGUGCUCAUUCAUUUCCCUCAUUCAUCAAACCCAACUGAACGCUAGGCCUUGAUCUAGGCACUAGGGUUUCAAAGAUGAACAAACAUUUGACCAGCCAGGGAUCUGAAGACACAAAACUUCCCACACUGUUCUAAUUGUUUUGUUGGUGGAAUGUGCAGGCUAUGUGGGAGCCUGAGGGAGGAAUUUCUAAUUCUGCUAAGGGUCACGUGGAGGGCAUCACAAGGGAGAUGAUGUUUAGAUGAGUUUUGAAAGAGUUUGCAAAGAAAAAGAAGGGAAUGUGGGAAAGAAUUUCUGGAAGAUAAACAAUAUUCAAGGGCAAGAUUAUUUCUCAAAAAAGUGACAGAAAACCAGCUCAAAAAAGAUUCGGCAAUAAAGAACAAAAAUGUGGAAGAAAUUAAUUAUGUUAGUUAGCUGAGAAGUUCAGCAUCGAUCUUCCUUCAGGUAUGGUGUACUCCAGGUAUUUAAAGGGCAUCAUCAAGCCAGAGAAGCUCUAUAAGCUGCUUCCUCUUUCUGCUCUUGCCCGCAGGCAGCCUAUUCCCUCCUGAUCACAAUGUAUCCACCAGCUGCUCCUUAGUUACAUCAUCCUGACAGCUACGCUAUGCCAGAGAAAGCUUGGCUUUUCCUUCCCAAUAGCCUGGCCAAGAAUCUCACACUGUAUCUCACUGGCUAGGUCCAGUUCACUUGUUCACAUCUAGAGUGCUAGGUUAGCUGGAGGAAGGCCUGAGAAUGGGGGAGAAUGAAUCUCAAAGGAAAAUCAGAGUCCGGUGUCCAGAGGACGAGUGGCUGUACACUGGGGAGGCAAGCCAUCAGGUCUGGAAGCAAUGGCAGAUCAAGAGUACAUCUCAUGUGAUAUGGAGGAGUGUGUACUAGUGGGUUGUACACUAGACCUGAGCAGAAGACAAUAGCUCCAGUUUCAUAGAGCGCUAAAAACUGAGCAAGAAGAAGCAGGCACUAAAGUUCAAGUCUUUUAGCACAACUUCAUGUCUUUACUGAGGAGGAAAUUAAGACUUAGGAAAAGAAAGUGACUCUCUUUUCUUGUAGUCACACAGCCUGAAAACCAGAGUCCGGAAGAAGCCCUGGUGCCCUGAGCCUUGGGACCCUCAGGCAGUGAGCAGUCUUCCUCUGUAGAGGUCCCGAAGGAGGAUGUGUGCUUUUCUAGGAGCCCCUGGGGUCCCUCCCACGAGGGCAGAAGCCACAGCCUGCAGACUUAGAUAGCCCUGGCCUCGGCAUCCUGAUGGCAUGAUAACAGACUCCUGGGCCCAAGGACCCAAGGACACCAAACCCUACUGUGAGCCAUUAAGAGUGAGUAACCAUUAAAGCAGAAAACAGGGAACAAGGAAUGGUGGUGAAGGAUGUAUACAGCAGAGAGAAGAGGGGGGAGGGGAGGUGGUGGGCAAAAGAGUUCAUUCAGGGACAGGGUUUCUAAUCACUCAGUUUGUAUAUGUAUUUUUAAGUUGUAUUUUUAGUAAUGUGAUGCACCCAUAUGGUUAAAAAUUAAAUAAUUCAGACAGCUUAUUCUAAAAGGCACACUCCUCAUUCUCAUCUCCAGAGACCACUGUUUUUCUUCAGCCUUGGCUAGCAUGUAUUGAAUACACUGGUUACAAGCCAAUCCCUCUGCUAACCCUUGAUGACACUGCUUCCUUGAGCUCACAAGGACGCCCUCGGGUAGGGACCAUUACCACCUUCAUUUUACAGAUGGCGUAACUAAGGCAUAGAUUGGUUAAGUGGUCAGUCCAUCUCACACAACUGAAGAGCAGCAGAAAGAAGACUGCAGCUCUGGAUGCCUGACUCCAGAGCCUGGGGUGCGCUUAAUCAUCACACUCUGGUGGUUUCUGUUAAAGAUUUAUUACCUCUACUCCUUGAUUUAUUAACAAUAGAUAUUAUCUAUUGGCUUCCUCAUAUGAUUGAUGAGGGUUUAUCUCACUGACUCCCCCUGCGAUCUGCCCACCGGUUCUAGACAGAUACGUGGCAAUAUUUAUUCCUGUUGUGGGUGCCUUUGGGAUUUUAAAUAAUGCAUUCAAGCCUCAAUUCCAUGCUUCUGCUCUACAAGCGAUGGUUGGCUGCUUAUGCAGUCACCUGUAAGGUGGAUGGUGCAAAAGCCAUCCCAUAUUUUCUUGUUAUCCAUCCCCCAUCCACCAUACCACCCAGCUCUGUGCCCAGCACACAUCAGGUGUUUGGUGACUAUUUAGACCACAGAACAAAUGCAGAAAAACUCCAUAUGAAAGGUGGCAGAAAACUGGGAAUCUGCGGCAGGUGAAAGGUACCGUAAUCACAGCCUGUGAUGUAUGUCAGCCUGACUUCUUCAGAGACACAGCCUUGCCCAAAGGAGAAAAGAGGCAGCUAUAAAAUGGAAAUUGAAGGAGAAUCACUUCAGAGCAGCUGUCAGGAAGCACUUCCCCCAGUGGAGACAGCGGAUGUGUGGAAUGACCUCUCUACAAGGUUGUCUCAGCUCAGCGGCUGGGCUGGUCUUGCUGGCCUGCCAGGAAGCCACCAGGGAACCCACUCUACUCCAUGAAGACGUCUGAGUAGCUCCCCUUGUGUAGGAGGUCUUCAUCCUUCGUUUUCAUCUCCAUUCCUUGCUCCCUGUUACUCACUCUUAAUGGUUACUCACUCUUACUGGCUCCAGGUAGGUUUGGUGUCCUUGAGUCCUCAGGCCCAGGAUUCUGUUAUGAUGCUAUCAGGAUGCUGAGGCAAGUAUCAGGCACGCAGCUGGGAUAUCUAAGACAGUGUGGCAUCUAAGCCUGCAGGCUGUGGUACCUGCCCCUGAUGAGGGAUUCCCCAGGAAAGGCCCACAACCCCCUUUGGAAUGUUCUGGUAGCAACAGAUCCCAAGUAGGCUCUGGAAGCCAUGUCAGGGACUCCUACCCAGGGAGGCUCCUCCUGUGGGCUGGCAGUCUAAGCCCACAACCUAUGAAGAAAGAGUCAAGUGUCUGGGGAUCUUAUGGGCUCUGUGCCCUCUACCUGUGUUACCUACCACCAACUUGGCUCCCACUUGUUGAGGUAAUUCUUCCUGUCUUGUGCCUCUUAGGCCAGGCAACAUGAUCUUGGGAAUUUUCAACCCCUCUCCCUCACCAAGGUGGUCAUAUCCUUAAUUACCUACUAAGCAUUUACCCUUUAUUAAACUUAGCACAAUUGUUAUUUUACAUUCAAUCCAUCUCUACUCCUAAGAAGUUGGCCUCACCCAUCAAACCGGAAGUUCCAUGAAGACAGGACCCAGCUUUGGCUUGAUCCACCCAGCACAGCAGCCAGCAAGCAUCUUAAAUGAAUGAAGGCAUGAAUGAGUGAGUUUUGAUGACAGUGUUUAGUUCAAGGUUUCAUUUGCGUGAGGCUUAGUCUCCUCUAAGUAUAGAAUCUUCUUUCUAUCUAGAAAAGAAGGGGAGCUUUCUGACCCUGAGGUCCAAGUCCAGUCUCAUGACUCACCUUCUGAAAAUGCAGUGACUGGCCUCCCUGACUUUGACUUACAGACUCCUGGGGACGUGUCCUGCCCCAGCACAUGCUCUCUCCUCCCUGCCUCCUGUCUCAUCCUCCUCUGUCAGCGUUACCAAGCCCUGCCUCUUCACCUCUACCUCAGUGGUCCUGAGCCCUACCUGCAGCUAGCUGUUCAAGCAUACAAACAUGUGAGUUUCCAAGUUGGGGCUUCCGAUGGUUAUCUGGGCAAGGAAUUUAAAAAAUUCCCCUAGUGAUUCUGAUGUGGGGCCUCUCCCCAAACUGAUCUCAAAGAUGUCUCCUGCCCUCUCAGCCUGCUUCCCUACUCCAUUCAUCCUCCACCUCUUCUCCCCGACCAGAGAAAUCUCCUCCCUCUAUCCUGGGGGGCUCCAGCCUUGGGCUUUAAUCUAUAGCCAGAACAGCCUUCCAGAAUGAUCAUGCUAGAAGGAAAGUCUAAACUCUGCAGCUUAAAACUUCCCUAUCUUUGGGAGAAACCCAAGAUUCUCAGAGAGCUUCAAAAUUUCCUGUUCACUUCAGGACCUUCCCGUGUGGUUCUGUGGGUACAAUGGGAGCCAUACUCAGAUCCUUAAAGGACCCAGGCCUCUUUCUCUCCUUCCUCCAGGGCUCUGCACAACUACUCCUUUGUCCAUUGCUAUAAAUAAAUAUAUAAAUAUUUGGACAUUUGUUAAAAUGGAAAGGAAGACUUCUCAGGGCUGUUGCCAAAGGGGUACUGCAAUAGGAAAGAAAUAUGAGAUUCAACUGCCAAUACCACAAAGAUGGCCAAGGAGCAGAGGGAGGGGUCAGUGGACAGAAAAGAGAAGACUCAGGGUCAGGGGACCCCUGCAAGGGCAGGACAUCGAAGAAGAGGGAUGAGGAAUUUGAUCAGAUAAAGAAGGUGACCAGAUUUCAGGUGGGAGGGGAAACUUAGCAGGAUUCUUUCUGCAGUGACUGGGCGAACUGAAGACAAGAUGGUGUCUCACAGCAGAGGCCUACUAGUGAAGAGGACUCAGAGGAGCCUUACUAAAGAGACUUAGGGACCAAGGACAUUUCACUGGGCUGCUCUGGGAGUCCUCUGAUGCUCUUCCAGUCCAUGGGCUCUUAGCAUUCAUCCCAUCUUUUUGCAGUGCUCUGUGACUUACCUGCUCCCAUGAUUGGCUGGGAGCAAUUUAAGGUCAGAGACCAUAUAGUGGCUCCUUCUUGGGUACCACCAUGUGUGGUCCUCAGUAUGGGUGUUGAAUGAGCAUAGGUUGAUGAACAUGGGUCUCAUGGAAUGGCUGCUCCUUUCUGAAGCAACCAGUGAUUGCACUGCCUGUAUCAGCAGUGACCAGAAUUCACUGUGAUCAGAAUCAUUGGGUGGGCCUGGUCACCACAGAUAGCUGGGCUCCUCUUCCAGGUUCUGACUCAGUAGAGUGGACAGGGGCCUGAGAAUGUGCCUGCCUAACCACAGUGAUGUCCGUGUUCUUCUCAGAUUGCACUAUGGUAGUCAUGGACUUACGGGAUGAUGGUAGACAUCAUCUUCAAGUGGCAUGAGUUGUAAUGUUUUUGUUUUGUUUUGUUUUGUUUUGUUUUUUACAUUAAAAGAUAGCAAGAUUUAACAAGCAACUUGAAGGUAGUAAAGUAGCUAUGACCUCCUGACUGGGUUCCCUUCUUCUCUGCCUACGUACCUGGUUCUCCUGCUCUCUGACUUGCAGGCUGGCACAAGGGCUGCAGACUUUACUUCCUUUUCCCUGCUUCGUUGGCAGUGGGAGGGGCUGCUUCCUAGCGCCCUCUGCCAGGUUUAAUGCUAGCCUGAGAGCAAUCACUGAAUCCUGAGUACGCUCCCAUUUCUGCUCUCACAAUUAGCUGCUAGUGCAAUAGAUUCAGGGGGCAGCGGACAGCCACACAGGGGCAUGGCUGCAGCAUGCAGACCAACACCGAGCUCCCAGAAAUGACUGUGUCCAGGCUGCAGUGGGCCAAGGUGUGGCUAUUUGCAGGGGAUGUGGACAGAGCUAGAAUUUGCAGGGUGUGGCAUUCACACAGCUUCAUGUCAGCCUUUCAGGGUGUGAUGCAUAGUUGGGGGUGGAAAGAGAAGGGGGCCAGGGCAGGGGCCAGUUCUCUCUGUUUGGCAAGUUUCAGAGAGGAGCACUUGCUCCUCACCCUUCUGAGCCUUGAAGAAAGACUAUUUGUCAUGAUAGGACAGGUAUUAUUUACCUGCUUUACAGUGUAAUUUCUGACUGUUCAUAGACAAGGUAGUUAGUCCUCAGAUUAUACUCGGCACAGGCUCUGCAAAUGCUUGGGGUGGGCUUCACUGUCGGAGUAAUCUGGAGAAGUGAACACCCUGGGAAAGCAAGACUGCUCCCACAGGGUCUUUGAUGUCCCCAAGUUGAGAAGCACAACUUCGAGUACUCCUCAGGGGCACCAAGAGGGACUUCUCUAUUUCCUGGAGGUAGAGACUAAGAACUAGUCCCAGUCAAAUGACAGCGACUUUACACACCCUUUUUUGGUAUAAAGAAAGAGGCUGGGACCUUGGGAAGUUCAUGCUUAGGGUUCCCAGCCAGUUGUCAGGCAGUGGUCAGGGCAUAGGGUAGAGAAAGCUUGGGUGGGUCACUUCCCAGGUGUAUUUGUCUGGCCAACCCAUACCAGUUCUCUGGUCUCAGUUUCCUCAUUUGUUAAAUAGAGAUAAUAGCAGCACCAACACCUCUAGCAAAGCCUCUAGUACUGAUAGUACCGGCAGAUAUUUAGUAAAUGAUAACUGCUGUUUUUUUGGUCACUAGGCUAAUUCAUCCUGUCUAAUGUGGCUUCUCCUAGUCAGCUCCACAAGCUCAACAAGUUGGACCAGUUUGUCUUCCAGUCACUGUCUGCCCUUUGGACAUCCCUGCCUUGCUUGUGAGCAUCCUUCUCACUGGUCACAGAACCCACCACUCUUAUCUCGGGCUAUCCUCCACUGACAGGGAGAUUCCUGGCCCCCAACUCAGAGAUUCAGAUCCAGAUGUGAAGAUUGAUCCACCAGAGCUGACGCCACACGUCCCAGGUUACACAGCUCAUUUCAGUGCACAAGGGCACUGGAGCCCAGCCAGACUGGUUCUCUGGCUUGCGUCCUGAUGUACUCCAGCCCCUGCAGAAAAGCACUGCUUUACACUUCAGCCUCAAGACUGCUGAGUCGGCAGGUAUCUUGGAUUCUUCACCCUUUUCUGAGGUUGCUGAGUGGCUUUUGCUUCCCUGCUUCCUUUGUGGAACUGGGAGAACCACAGAACGUGCCCAUAAUUGCCAAGGAUUGUCCUUCUUGAGGAGCACAUUCCCCAAACAUUCCUUCCUCCUUCCCUGGUCUAGAGAUGAAAUAACCUACAGGCAUCUCUCCAGACAGAAAGGAAAACGAAGGAGAAGGCAGUGCAUAUGACUUAGAAGAACACAAAAACCACCGGGCUCGGUGUACUCAGGCUGGAAAGCAGAUUCCAGGAACAAUGUGUCUGUCUGCUUCACUAAUUAUUGUGCAAGUGCUCGGCAUUUUAUUCGACUCCGAAACUCAUAAAGGAGCUGCAAAGAGACAGGUCCUCUGGAGACUGUUUUAUCAAAGGAGACUUGAGAAGAAAUAAAGUUUCAAGAUAAAACUGAGUUCCUAAUGGAAUCAGCACAAAUUUUUAAAAAAAAUUCUUAGAAGGGGUUUGUGAAACCGCACGAAAACAUUUUGGUUAUGCAGAAUGAAAGAGUGCAGAGGCGGAGACCCAGACACCGGGCAGGGCAUCUCUGCGCUGUCGCUGAUAGCUGUGAUUGGAGAGAUGAAGUUGUUGGAAUCACAAACCCCCAGCUUGGAGAAAAACAUGGAACUUCUGUUCUAUUCUUUUCAUUUACUUAACUCAUUUACCUUGAAUUCGACUUACCUGUUUAUUCACUUUCCAGUAAAUAAUGAUCAGUCACCUACGCCGCAUUAGCCACUGCACUGCACACUGCGGGUGCAAUAGAACACAUGGCGUGGUCCCUCCUCCCCCUCUGCGCUCGAGCCCCGUGUUUUCAAGCCCCCUGUUUUCGACUUACCAGCAACUGUCUAUUCCUGCUGGCUCCCCAGCCCCAGGCUCCACUUUAUAUUCCCAUAAAAUAAUUCGGAGCCUGCCUGGGUACUCAGCCCACUUGCACUGAGAAGUGAGUUGAUUUGGGAAGCUCGAUUCUAGACCUUUUUCUGCCUCCUAUUCUCCACAUGAUCCUGGAAAAGAAAACCGCAUGCAGGCAUGGGAGGCCCUGUGCUCAGGAAAGACUCUCCCCGUCUCACUGCCCAACCUCCAUAAUGUGUUUCUAGCUUGUACUCGAAAACUGUGUGUCCGUGAGCAAGAUCCGAGCAAGAUCCUUAAUCACUCUGUUCCUUAGUUUCCUAAAACACCAUAAUGGAAGUUUUCAUCAAGAAAAAUAUAUAGGUGACAUACUCAGUAUAGUGUCAAGUAUAUAAUAAGCACUAUUACAGAGAGCUGUGGGGCAUUUUUCGUAGUAUUGAUCACUCCCAUUGCUAUAUAUUUAAGUGGGUAUUACAUUUAUGUCUGCCUCCCCACACUGGUUUAUAAACUCCAUAAGAGCUGUCGCACCUGUUGCUGUAUUCCCAGCACCCACGUCAACGGCUGGCGUAUAAUAGGAGCUCAAUCACUGUUUGUUUAAUGAGUUAAUGAAUGAAUGAGUCGCCUCCCCCACCCAUGUCAGAAGAAUCUGAAGGGAUGCCAGAGCAUCUGUUCCCCGAGGUUUUUUCAAACGAGCUCCAACAGCUGUUUGUGCUAGAAGCCACCAUAAAAAGCAUCCUUAAAAGCAAAAGGGAAAGAACAGCAGUAACAGAGAGAUCUAUGGCCCAGCUGGGAUCCUGGAUGUAUGGCUGCAGCAAAACUCAGGGGAGGCCAAGGGGAAAGACAGGCAGGUAGAUGUACGGGCUGCAGAAAGGGAGACAGGCGUGGUUUUAAAUCAGAGGCAGAGAGAGCUGCUGAGCGAGAGAGACCCUCAGAAAGGCGGAGACAGACAGCGAGGGACUGUCUGUGGUUGACAAAGACAAAGAUGAAGCCAGAGAGAGAAAGGAGGGAAGACAAGUGUUUGAACUGGCAGCUAAUUCCCCAAAUCCUUGAGGGUUUUUCAGAGAUAGAGAGUAAUGUGGGCUUCAGCCUUGGCUGCCUGAUUGAUGACCAGUGAGCCCUGAGCCACCACUGAGCUAAGCACGUUAGGCGGCUGUGUGGCCUGGGACUUCUCAAAGUCCUGCUGGAGGCUUCCCCAGGGUGGAUCACUGCGUGGAGAGGCGCAUUGCACCGACAGGAUGGAACGGCUCUCAGUUAGGGAAAUCUUGGGGUGGAGGGCCCACACCUGGGUGAUUACGCUCUGUUUCAGCUGGGAGCCACACAGAAGUUUUAACUCAACACGACGUUGGCUGGUCUUUCUUCCUUCCCCCUUUCCCUCCCUUCUGCAUUUCCUCCCUUUUUUUCUCUCCUCUCUGAUUUAUUAAGCAUGCAGAAUGUAUAAGCAACCAGGGCUGCAGAGAUUAAAUAAGACAUGAUUCUUAAGUUUUAAAGAGCACUCAGUGGCUCAGUGAAAAGGGGAGAAAAGCAGCCAACAGAACAGUAAGAGGAAAGGUGCGACAUCAUUUAUACAAACUAAAGUUUUAUUUUUAUUUGUUCACCAUACGUUCAUUGAAAGGGUACUUAGAAAAACAAAAUAGAUUAGACAGAAAUAAUAUAAAUUUGUGACGGGGUUUGCUGGGGAUGAGGUAGACAAGAAAUGAAACCUGAAAUAAUGAGACGCAAGGGAAUUUCAUAUUUUGAUGUGCAAUGUGUUGCUUAUUUUAUUAAAAAACGAGGAAAAGAAGUCUGACGAUGUUUUUGAAUGAUCAUUUUUGGACAGUAGAUGCUGUUCUUUAAGAUUUCUCAGAAUUAGAAAAAAAAAGCCUCAAGAAAUCGAGCAAUUGUUAUUCAGCUGGACAAGCUGCUUUUAUUCUUCUCUUCCACAUUAAUCCCAGAAGAUGGAAGGGGUGGCGAUGAUCAGAAUGGCACCGAAUCUCAGUCUCUGUCUCGUCUCCCUGUCCAGCUGUCCUCCGGGUCAUAUUUUGGGUAGCAAAUUAUCUGUGACUGUACCAAAUCAGCUGCUCCAUGCUAAGUAAGAUAAAAUAAGGCUCGUUCCAUGAAAUAUUUUCACCUUUUAGGAACCUCCAGGCAUUAGGAACCUGGGCAAUUUAGACAUAAAUGGGAUGAGAACUGAGAACCAAUGUGGAAAGGAAGCUUUGGGUACUCUCUUUUAAACACUCUUAUGGUAGGCAGAUAAAAUACUGAAAUACAAUAUACUAUAUGUUAUAUAAUGCCUGGCUCUUUGGAGCCAGAUGGACCAGUGAUAGGGGCUCCUUGGAUGAUCUUGGGAAAAUGACUAAAUCUCUCUGGGCUUUGGUUUCCUCAUCUGUAAAAUGAGAACAAUAAUACUUCCCAGGGUAGUUGUGAGGUUUAAAUGAGCUGGUAGAAAUCAAGUGAACAAAAAGAUCAGCUCAGCAUCCAGCAAAGUAUAUUCACAGCACUGCUUAGUCUCCUUCCUCCCAGGGCUAAGAUUUCCUCAGCUGGGCUGUAAUUCUGGUACAUGUACUAAGCAGCCCUAGUCACCGGGAUUUCCUGUCUUAAAAAUGAUGCCCCAUGGAGAAAGCAGCAGGUUAAGUGGUAAAUAUGGUGCAUCCAUUUACUUGAUAUAUUAGUAGCUUUCUUAUCACUGGGACAACAUACCUGCCACCCACAACAUGGACCUGGAGCACGAAACUAAUUGUCAUCAAGGCACAUAAAUGUGGGUCUGCCGGAUCCAUGGUUAGUCUUCAGAAUAUUUCCAUUAAUUAAUUAUUAAUAAUAAUUUUAUGAGUUUUAGUACAC